GAUACGCGCCGUUACUGACGGAUGUUCGUGGGUCACCACGGUGGAGCGGCGCGCAAGCCAUAGUGCCGACCGUCUGGGCAAGCAGC
This 86-nucleotide non-coding RNA is filed under the name Olsenella sp. oral taxon 809 str. F0356. RNAcentral describes it as "ZMP/ZTP riboswitch aptamer (pfl RNA motif)". It matches the Rfam family "ZMP/ZTP riboswitch aptamer (pfl RNA motif)". Rfam says of the family: Previously known as pfl RNA. ZMP is also known as AICAR. Lineage: Bacteria; Bacillati; Actinomycetota; Coriobacteriia; Coriobacteriales; Atopobiaceae. The record is from Rfam by way of RNAcentral. RNAcentral also lists the same sequence under 1 other name.